UUUAACCUACAUCAAAUUUGGCGCCGUUGCCGAAGUUCUCUUUGAUUCACCAUUAGACUAGGUGUAGAAUCUAGACUAAGUU
Molecule: small RNA, 82 nt
Filed under: Arabidopsis thaliana (thale cress)
Lineage: Eukaryota; Viridiplantae; Streptophyta; Magnoliopsida; Brassicales; Brassicaceae
Description: ATSL028020
Source: RNAcentral